Mytilus trossulus (common blue mussel) is the source of this 415-nucleotide long non-coding RNA. RefSeq lists it as uncharacterized. The transcript has 4 exons. The record is from RefSeq and is a predicted model, not a curated record. NCBI's taxonomy places the organism in Eukaryota, Metazoa, Mollusca, Bivalvia, Mytilida, Mytilidae.
AAAAACAGUGGAAAAAAUACAAUGGCCACUGCUACUAUUAUGGAAGCGAGAAACUUACUUGGUUUGAGUCUGAGCAACGAUGUAUUCAGAUUGGAGGGCAUUUAGCAAAAAUAGACGAUGAGGCAGAAAACAAAUGGAUAUUUGAUAACAGAACAUACAAACUUGAUGUAUGGAUGGGACUUACAGACCUAAAGGAAGGAGAAUUCCGUUGGAGUUAUGAUCAGACCUUAGCAACAUAUAAACCAUGGUUUGGUGGAUGGGGAAGUAAAGGUACAAGUUAUAACUGUGGAUUGAUUCAUAAUAACAAAGCCUAUACCUGGCUGGAUUAUACUUGUACGAGUAAAUUCGUGUAUGUAUGUGAGAGUCAUUUCUGUUAUUGAUGUUGAAUGAGAAGACAUUUGCCAUCCAAUAAAAA